UAGUCGAAGUGUUGGCUUGAACCUCAGAAG
RNAcentral lists this non-coding RNA (30 nucleotides) under Homo sapiens (human). Lineage: Eukaryota; Metazoa; Chordata; Mammalia; Primates; Hominidae. The record is from RNAcentral.